AGUGAACGCUGGCGGCGUGCUUAACACAUGCAAGUCGAACGGAUCAAAGUAGCUUGCUAUUUUGGUUAGUGGCGCACGGGUGAGUAAUGUAUAGCUAACCUGCCCUUUAGUGGGGGACAACAGUUGGAAACGACUGCUAAUACCCCAUACUCCUUCUUGCCACAAGGUGAGUCGGGAAAAAUUUAUUGCUAAAGGAUGGGGCUUUAUUGUAUCAGCUAGUUGGUGAGGUAAUGGCUCACCAAGGCUAUGACGCAUACCUGGUCUGAGAGGAUGAUCAGGCACACUGGAACUGAGACACGGUCCAGACUCCUACGGGAGGCAGCAGUGGGGAAUAUUGCACAAUGGAGGAAACUCUGAUGCAGCAACGCCGCGUGGAGGAUGACGCAUUUCGGUGUGUAAACUCCUUUUAUAAGGGAAGAUAAUGACGGUACCUUAUGAAUAAGCACCGGCUAACUCCGUGCCAGCAGCCGCGGUAAUGUCGAUA
Molecule: ribosomal RNA, 484 nt
Filed under: uncultured bacterium
Lineage: Bacteria
Description: bacterial SSU rRNA
Rfam family: Bacterial small subunit ribosomal RNA
Source: RNAcentral